Molecule: non-coding RNA, 769 nt
Organism: Arachis ipaensis
Lineage: Eukaryota; Viridiplantae; Streptophyta; Magnoliopsida; Fabales; Fabaceae
Source: RefSeq, a predicted model, not a curated record
CACAAACUAAGCUACAAAUAUUCUAGUUAACUUGAUGAGAAUCAUAUAGAAUAUAAUAAUAAGAUUAGGAAUGAUUUAACUCUGUAUAUAAAGUCGAAUUAAUCAUAACUUUGUGAUUGCAAGCCAAAAGAGAAGAAAUACACUAAGAGACUGUUGGGUCAUCAUGGGGAACUCUUGAACAUCGAAGAGAUAUCGAGAAAAAAUCAAGAGAAUAUAAGAUGAGAAGACACUACAUCUAACUCAAAAACCUUAAGAGACAUUUAUGGCCAAGAUCAAUGUGACAAAUGCACUAGCAAUAAUACUUAUAACCGGAGUGAUUAUUUAUUUGGUCAUUAUUACUGAAUUUCAAGACACUCUUCUUGAAAGGCCCUUGAGUCUAUCACAUUAUGAUUUUUCAUCUGAUGAGAUACAACUUCAAGCGUGUAUUAACAGAUGUCGAAGAAUCUUUCCUAACCAUAGAGGGAAGGAAAUUGAAUGCAUGAACAAGUGUCGUCAAAUGUUUGGCUAGUACUUUAGUUUGCUCAAUGGAGUUCUAUGGAAUGUAUCUGAAAAUUAAAUAGUGUUCUAGUGUACCAUGUAUUAUUCCUUGUAUUGAGCCUCUUCGAUCGAUGAUGUAGCUGAACUAUUUCCUCAUUAUUCGCCAUUUUGGGUUACAAAUGGUGUAUUUCUUUUUUUUGGGUUACAAAUGGAAUUGCGCAUCCACAUUGCAUUAUUACUUAGGCGUAUCCCUUAUAUCAUAUAUAACUUAUAGAGAAAAGUUCAAGAUCAA